AUGGGGGCCGUUGAGGUGGCCGGGGGCUCGCAGAAGGGUUUCAACGGACCAAAAGGGGCCUCACGAAUCACCGGUACAGACAGGCCGGGGAGGUGGACGAAACGGUGGCGUCUCACUCGUUGGUUCCAUCGCACGACCAGCCGUACGGCGCCGCUCGAUUGGGCGGUGCCGCCUGCGGCCAGUCGAAAGGACGUGUUGCAUUCCCUUAGCCGCACGGAGUGCGCCUGCAGGUGUGCCAGUACGUCUUCGCCGAGCAACGAUGCGCUCGCCCCCGAGUCGAGGAGAGCUGCAAACGUCCGGCCGGCGAUGGUGAGGGCCAAGAACGGGGCAGGCGCAUCGGGCGAAGAGUCCACCCGAUACGCAGACGGAGCGAGGGCGAUCAAGGGGGCCUCGUCAGCGGCGGCCGGCUCCGUUUCCCGAAGCUUGUUGAGGAGCAGGCCGCUGGUCGGUACAGUCUCGGACAAAAUGGUCGGGCCGACCGCAGCGGAUACACUGGACGUCCGAACCGCGGGACGGGUUCCGUCGCAAGUUCCUUGGCGGGUUGGGGCGCUCAUUCUGGGCAUCAAGGUGCCCGGUCUGCGCCCAUCUGCGAGGCCUCGGGUUCGCGGGGCGGUCCCGAUAACGCUGGUUCGCCUGCGCCUCUGUGGAGCCUCUUCGCAAACCAAAGGUGUAGGGGUCGAGAGCACGGUUAG
This is an RNA transcript of Ixodes scapularis (black-legged tick), 692 nucleotides long. RefSeq lists it as uncharacterized. Lineage: Eukaryota; Metazoa; Arthropoda; Arachnida; Ixodida; Ixodidae. The transcript is spliced from 2 exons. The record is from RefSeq and is a predicted model, not a curated record.